RNAcentral lists this ribosomal RNA (253 nucleotides) under uncultured bacterium. Its description in RNAcentral is "partial 16S ribosomal RNA". It matches the Rfam family "Bacterial small subunit ribosomal RNA", at positions 524 to 776 of the family's 1533-position model. The record is from RNAcentral.
UACGUAGGGUGCGAGCGUUAAUCGGAAUUACUGGGCGUAAAGGGUGCGCAGGCGGUUUUGUAAGUCAGAUGUGAAAUCCCCGGGCUUAACCUGGGAACUGCGUUUGAAACUACAAGACUAGAGUGCGGCAGAGGGGGGUGGAAUUCCAUGUGUAGCAGUGAAAUGCGUAGAGAUAUGGAAGAACAUCGAUGGCGAAGGCAACCCCCUGGGCUGACACUGACGCUCAGGCACGAAAGCGUGGGGAGCAAACAGG